CCUUUGCUCUUGGAGUCUGUUCCCAGGGGUGGAUGUGUGCAGACCCAAACUGCCGUUAGGAGAUGAAAGGGAAUCUUUCAACAUUUCCUCCCAUUGUCUGAGCUUUCUCCCUGCUUUGUCACCAUAACAUUCUUUUUUGGAAUUCCAUUAAUGUGGAGUUUUCCCCUCCCCCAGAAACAAUUAAAAGAGAAGAGUUGGCAGAGCCAGCCAGGAAAGACCUGUGGCUCACUCCUAAUCUCCCACAUGGAAGUUUUGAGUCGACCCAGGAAAGGAAACAGGAAGAGUCUAAACGAGAAGCUUCAAGCACUGACAACUUCCUUUAACUCAUGA
RNAcentral lists this long non-coding RNA (330 nucleotides) under Mustela putorius furo (domestic ferret). RNAcentral's name for it is "lncRNA (ENSMPUG00000028674.1)". The record is from RNAcentral. Lineage: Eukaryota; Metazoa; Chordata; Mammalia; Carnivora; Mustelidae.